Molecule: long non-coding RNA, 4744 nt
Organism: Dromaius novaehollandiae (emu)
Lineage: Eukaryota; Metazoa; Chordata; Aves; Casuariiformes; Dromaiidae
Exons: 4
Source: RefSeq, a predicted model, not a curated record
AGCAGAGUAUUCCAAAGAGCUCUGCUGGCUGGCACAGCUCUGCUGGCUGUGUAAAAGUCACAGCCGCAGAGCCGCCUUGCAUCUCUGCUAGCAUAGAGCAAACGUGGGACUUUGCCUUGGGCCAACAGUUAGAGACCUCAGCCACAGACUGGAAGAAGAACUGUGAUUCAAGGUUCUGUUUUUUCUGCCCCAGCUCUCCAGGAGGGAAGUAAUCUCUUUCUCUGACAUAUGAUUCAGAGAACACUGCCCAGUGAGGAAGAAAGGACACUAUAUGCUUUGCACAGCUGGACCAGAAUGCUCAUGUGGAUGCUGAGAUGAUCGAGAGAGAGAGGCACUGAUGAAAAUGAUAUUAUUGUCAUGGGGUAUGCUAGUAAGUGUGUGGUCUUCCAGGAACAAACAUAUGCAGAUUGGCAUUAAUCUGAAGAAGCAAAGUCUUAACUGUGGGCUUAUUUUUAAGCAUGAAAUACUAAACCGUUUUGGAAAAAAUAUUUUUGUUUCUGUAUGUGAAGCAAUGGGACAAGACUGAAAGUGCAGAAGACAGGAACGAUGCCUGAUGUAAUAUCCUUUUCCCCUCUUUCAUGAGGUUUUCUUCUGAAAUACAACCUGCUCAGGAUUUUGAAAGGUUCUUUUUGGCCACUGUUUAAAUGCCUUUGUCCUAAUUUGCUUUCUUCAUAUAUACCAAAAUAAAUGAUAUUCAGCUUCAUCGAAGUCAGUGAACCUGCACAGAUGUAAAAGUGAUGGGAGAAGAAAAUUAAACAUUUUAAAACAGACUUACUAGAAUACCCUGGUAAAGGUGAAAUUAGUAAGGCUAGUCUGUUAAUCACUUGUCAAAGUCUGACAUUAUAUAAGGCUUUAGCAGCUGGAGUCUAUUGUCCAGACAAGGAUAAUCAGCAAAUGCAAGUUUAUAAAUUGUUGACUGGAGACAAUGGUGCAGAGAUAACCCUGGAGAGGUUGUGAAAGACUUCAUUGGAGUUUAUUUGCAUUGCAAUUCUGCUGGAAGUCACAGAAGCUUGGCUUCCUACCUAGUUACUGCCAUUUAUUUUUGAUAUGCCCCAAAGCAUCCAUGACACUUAUUAAAAUAGAACAGUGUCUAGGCAGCCAUUAAUGCUACUGUAUCUUGUUUCAACAGUUACUCUAUUUUAAGAAGUUCCACUUUAAGAAGUGUAUAUCUUCAAACCUGCUAUAUCUGUCGAUUCAUGUAGCUUAUGAAACCUUUGAGCUAGAUCAAAAAAAUACAAUAUUUUAGAAGGGAAUUUAUACAGCUUUCAAUGUCCAGUUAGUGUUGUGGCUUAGUGGGCUGUUUUCAUUUAUAUAAUUUUAUUUAUAACUUUUUAUUACUGACAACAGGGUAUACUUUCUUGUAAUCUAAAAAAUUCCACCUUGCUAAUCCAUGUUAUGUGCCUUUAUUUAUUAUAAGAAGUGUCUUUAUAUACCUUUGCUCAAAAUGUGCCAUUUUUUUUGCAUUGUAUCAUUAACUAUAUAUGUAAGAAUUCCCUUUUCUUCUCAUUUUUGUGGCGAAUACUCUUUCUGCAAUUUUGGAUGUGAGCCAGGCAUGUUAAAGUGAAAAUUGGAGCUAUUCACUCCUCAAGCCUGCCAAUGUUCUCACAACAGGGAAUAUUAGUUUAUAAAUUACCCCAGGGAGAAAUGCCAGUCACAGAAAGCUCAGGAGAUCCACAGGGGCCAAAUCACACCUUUCUGAUAUUUCACUUCUAUGAACAUUUACAUUCAAAUGUAAACAGUGUUUACAUUCAGAGCUGUAUUCAGCAUUAUAAAAGACUGCUCUAGCUCAUGCUUCUUGGUGAAAUAGGUCUGUUUGAUAUGUUUAUUUCUUACCAACUAGUUUAUAUUGUAUUUUAUUGGAGAAGAAAAUCUGGUGGGAAAUAAGCCAAUCUGUCUAAUUGCUCCUGACAUAUUACCUAUCAGAAUAUAAGCGUCAGUGGAGGAACAAAAUGCAGGCCUCUCUUAUGCAGUUUGUUUUUGUUGCUGGUAGUUUGGUUUGCUUCUCACAGAGGCAGGAUUUUUACUGAUGAGCAUUUGAAAAGGUAAGUCUUAGUCCCAGAAACUGACAGCGUGAUAAUGCCAUGGCGCAGAGGAUACGACUCGGAUAGUGUAGGCUGUAAUGAGGUACGUAAAAGGACAGGAAAAUAUCCCUUCAAAAAUAAAGAGUGUCAGACUAGAAGGAUACUUUUCCAGAUCAUUUCAGUCAGCAUAUCACCGUAUAAAUCACUGCUGUUAUAUGAGCUGAGAAGCUGCUCCGCAACAACUAAUUGUUUGAUCAUAGUUGUGUUGCCAAUUUCUAAUUCUUGUUUAAUACUUUGUAUUUCCUAUCUGAAGUGCUGUUAUCGUACUUUGCAUGAUUAUGUUCUUUAUGGCCCUAUUUUGUUCUCCAUGAAUACACUGGAAAAGGAGUUAUUCGCUCAAAAGGUUCAGGCCCGCUAUCUGUUGCAAAUGUUCUGGACACUUCACAGUGAAAAGAAAUGGUACAGACCAUGACCCAAAGGCCUUACAGUGUAAUUAGAUUUAUAAUUAGAGGAUAAGAUAUAAACUCAUCCAUUUGCAUUAAAUUUGUUUGUCAGAGGUUUCCUAAGUGCUUAGUAUUUUCUGACCUUGAGCACCUCAGAAUGAAUAUAAACUUUAAUUCAGCUAAACUUUACUCAUUUAUGCCUACUUAGUUUUUUGUUCUGAAUCUCUUUAUACACAGAAUGUGACUGAAAUGUAAUUACCACUGCAGAGGUAUCACACUGACAGAGCUGCAUAUACCCCUUCUUGUGUCUAAAGAGCCACAAAACAGCGACUAUCAACAUGUAAACUUCUGUGGGGAGAAAAAAGCAUAGGAACAAUUCUGGGAGCAGUGGAUCAACACGAGUUUGUGGUCCUCUUUGUGGAAUAAAAAGAGCUGACGGGGUGGAAAAUGACAUUAUAAGAAACAAGAUUUGUCAAAUAGAAAGGAGAAGAAUUGGGUUGUGACUUGAAGAUAAUGGUGAGAAGAUUUAAAGAUGAACUGGAGGAAGGGUUUGAGGAUGGGAGGGGGAUAUGGUCAGAGACCUAUGAAAUGAGGAUGUUCUUAGACUUUGGAUCUUCAAAAAUAUUUAGCCAUUUACUUUUUUGAAGUUGAACAGUUAACUCCCACUGGUUUGCAUGCCUUUCCACCUGCUCAUGGAUACUCAUUCCACCUAGCUCCAAACCUCCACUUGCCUUCCUAGCUGAUCUCUGCUCCUCCUGGCUGCUAUGGGGCAGCGCGAGGACGGGCAGCAGCACAGGAUUCCUGCUACCGUGAGUGUUAGCUUUUCUUCCUCUCUCCCUGUUACCUGGCCCAGCCCCGGUCCCCUCCUAGAAGGGACAGAGCGGUGCCCCGGGGGGAGCAGCAGCCCUUGCUGCCCUGCCUGGCACUCCCUCAGCCCCAGGAUGUGAUUUCCCACCCUCUAAGCCUGGCUCCAGCGGUGGGUGGCCACAGAAGCUACAGCAGAGCCCUAGGGACGCGGGGGACGUGUGCAGGAACUGUUGCUCUAGAGAAAAACAUUUUCCACGUUCCCUAUGGAUAGCUUUUGUUUGUUUAUGUUUAGAUAAGAAUCUCUUCAAUUGUUUUUGAAUGAUAGGUUUCUCCCCUUGGACCCAAGAAACACAACCCUUGUGAGACAGAGGCAGGGGAAAGCGGCUGGCAUUCGUAAGCUGUUACUUGGCAUGAACAAAGGACGCUGAGAUAAGAAAGUCUAAAAGAAAGGUUUCUGUUCUCCCCGUUACAGGCCUGAUUAUGCACAAAUGCAGGACAGGCAUGGGGGAGGCUGGAGAGCCAGAGAAGAGGCUGUGAAGUAGCAAGAUCACAGAUAUAUCACACGCUGGGGGAAUUUAUCCACCAGCCUUCUUAGCACCUAAGUAAACCGAGCUGGAGUAAGAUUUCCUCUUUUUGUUUUCUGGUUAACUGUGUACCUUAAUAUUAAAGCAGGUCAAAAGCAAAGAGGGAGAGGAAUGGAAAAGCAUACAAAUAUUGGCCAUUUUUUUCUGCUCUUUUUCAGCUCGACAAAAUUCUGGAAAACAAGAUUUUAUCAAAAUCUUAAAGGUCCCAAUUGUUUGAGGAGCUCUUUAGCAGAUUAGCAAAUGAAACCAAAGAAGUUUGCAGACUAUAGUUUUCCUGCUUUUGUUUUUAAUUUUUAUUUUUGAGAUAUGUGGCAUUUCAGUGAGACGAGGUCUGUUUAUGUUUCUUCUUAUUUUAUAAUACCUACUUGGAAAAAAAAGUCUGAAAAUAACUAUUUCAGGUAGAAACCUUGGCCAGGCCCCUACACUGGGUUUAUUUCUUGUUUGAUAGAAGUCAAUGGAAAACUCAUAUCAAUGUCAAUGCUUCAGGGUUUUUUGUUGCAUUUAUCAUGCCCGGAUAGACAGGUGAUAGAUAGAGAGCUACACAUGCUUGGAAUAUUUUUUCCUUGAAAAAAGUGACAGAUAUUAACAGACACUAUUACAGUAACAAAAUACUUCAGCACUGAUUUCCAAAAAAUCUUGAUGGUCUCCAUUAAUCAUGAAUGCACAACAUAUAAUUAUAAUUUAUAGGAUAAACAUUAUUAGAAUAAUAAUUAAAGACAGAGUUUUUCUGAGAUUUUUAUUCCCUUUUCUUUUAGAAUUGAAAAGAUUAGCACAGGUUGAUGGAUUUUAAAAAGAAAAAGCAUUCACAGAAUGAAGAAAAGGAUCAGUCCUACACUCUGUAUUAAAUUAACACGGAUAAGCUUACGUUCAGUUUAGGACAACCCAUUUG